RNAcentral lists this ribosomal RNA (464 nucleotides) under uncultured bacterium. RNAcentral's name for it is "bacterial SSU rRNA". It matches the Rfam family "Bacterial small subunit ribosomal RNA", at positions 199 to 644 of the family's 1533-position model. The record is from RNAcentral.
GGAGGAAGCAGGGGAUCGCAAGACCUUGCGCUUUUGGAGCGGCCGAUGCCUGAUUAGCUUGUUGGUAAGGUAAAAGCUUACCAAGGCUUCGAUCAGUAGCUGGUCUGAGAGGACGGCCAGCCACACUGGGACUGAGACACGGCCCAGACUCCUACGGGAGGCAGCAGUGGGGAAUUUUGGACAAUGGGGGCAACCCUGAUCCAGCCAUGCCGCGUGAGUGAAGAAGGCCUUCGGGUUGUAAAGCUCUUUCAGCCGGAACGAAACGGUUACGGUUAAUACCUGUGACUAAUGACGGUACCGGAAGAAGAAGCACCGGCUAACUACGUGCCAGCAGCCGCGGUAAUACGUAGGGUGCGAGCGUUAAUCGGAAUUACUGGGCGUAAAGCGUGCGCAGGUGGUUUUGUAAGUCAGAUGUGAAAUCCCCGGGCUCAACCUGGGAACUGCGUUUGAAACUACAAAGCUAG